CACAAAAUUGGCCUUCUCUUCCUGGUUCUUCCUGGAGUUGGGAAAAGCUGGGUUGAGAGGGUGACAAAAAUAAAAA
RNAcentral lists this microRNA precursor (76 nucleotides) under Callithrix jacchus (white-tufted-ear marmoset). Its description in RNAcentral is "mir-320 microRNA precursor family". It matches the Rfam family "mir-320 microRNA precursor family". Lineage: Eukaryota; Metazoa; Chordata; Mammalia; Primates; Cebidae. The record is from Rfam by way of RNAcentral.